AUGAACAAACUUGAAAUCCCCCUCCCGGUUUCCUCUCUUCGCACCUCCGCCCUGAACGAUCGACGCUCCGGCAGGCCAAGGUUUUCAGGCGUCGUCUGCGAUUCUCGGUUGUUCCUGUCUCCACGAGUUGGUCGUCCCCAAGGAAUGCGAGUCUGGACUGGAUACACUCCUUCGCUUUUGUUGUGUGAUAAAAGAUUUAUAGCUUAUAAUAUCACAGCAAUGUAUACAACUGUGCAAACAUACUUUAUCUCAGGUUUUAAAACAGUUUCCGCUUAUUUUUCAGUGCCAUUUAGAAGAUGUUGGUGGCCAGAGAACAAAGCAAGUCACCGACCCAUGCUCAAGUUGGACAAUCAAGAAGCUGGUUUGCUACAAAGCUUUGUAGCAUCAAGUAGAUACUUUGGAAUGUUCUCGCAGCCUCCAUCUUCAGAUCAGCAACAGUAG
Molecule: ribosomal RNA, 441 nt
Filed under: Triticum aestivum (bread wheat)
Lineage: Eukaryota; Viridiplantae; Streptophyta; Magnoliopsida; Poales; Poaceae
Description: partial small subunit ribosomal RNA
Source: RNAcentral